UUGACCUCGGAUCAGGCAGGGAUACCCGCUGAACUUAAGCAUAUCAAUAAGCGGAGGAAAAGAAACCAACAGGGAUUGCCUCAGUAACGGCGAGUGAAGCGGCAACAGCUCAAAUUUGAAAUCUGGCUCUUUUAGGGUCCGAGUUGUAAUUUGUAGAGGAUGCUUCGGCGUCGGCUCCGGUCUAAGUUCCUUGGAACAGGACGUCAUAGAGGGUGAGAAUCCCGUAUGUGAUCGGUUGCCCUUGCCAUGUGAAGCUCCUUCGACGAGUCGAGUUGUUUGGGAAUGCAGCUCUAAAUGGGAGGUAAAUUUCUUCUAAAGCUAAAUACUGGCCAGAGACCGAUAGCGCACAAGUAGAGUGAUCGAAAGAUG
RNAcentral lists this ribosomal RNA (369 nucleotides) under uncultured Cenococcum. Its description in RNAcentral is "eukaryotic LSU rRNA". It matches the Rfam family "Eukaryotic large subunit ribosomal RNA", at positions 1 to 366 of the family's 3401-position model. The record is from RNAcentral. Lineage: Eukaryota; Fungi; Ascomycota; Dothideomycetes; Gloniales; Gloniaceae.